AAAAAAUGUUUAACAAAACAGCCUCGCGCCGACAUCGUCGUUUGCCCAAAGCGAACGAUGACGAAGCGCACGUUGGCCCACAUUUUUGUGCACCGUUCCGUCUUUGGUGGUGGUGGUGAGCGGCUUCCUUUGGCGGCCCUCGCCUGUCAGCUCGGACCUGCAACGGGUCCGGAGCCGUGGACAAGCCACCGCCCUUUUCUUCAAAACCUUUGCUUUGCUUUUUUUUUCUGUCUGACACUUUUUAUUUUGUAUGAAUGUACAAA
RNAcentral lists this unclassified non-coding RNA (263 nucleotides) under soil metagenome. RNAcentral describes it as "partial internal transcribed spacer 1". The record is from RNAcentral.